This 774-nucleotide ribosomal RNA is filed under the name uncultured Neocallimastigales. RNAcentral describes it as "partial large subunit ribosomal RNA". It matches the Rfam family "Eukaryotic large subunit ribosomal RNA", at positions 22 to 646 of the family's 3401-position model. Lineage: Eukaryota; Fungi; Neocallimastigomycota; Neocallimastigomycetes; Neocallimastigales. The record is from RNAcentral.
GUACACGCUGUGACUAGCAUAUCAAUAAGCGGAGGAAAAGAAACUAACAAGGAUUCCCCUAGUAACGGCGAGUGAAGCGGGAAGAGCUCAAAUUUGAAAUCUUAAAGGGUUUCCCCUUACGAAUUGUAGUUUAAAGAAGUGUUUUCUGUUGAGGUUUUGGUAAAAGUUCUUUGGAAUAGGACAUCAUAGAGGGUGAGAAUCCCGUAUUUGACCUUUACUUUCAACUUUGUGAUACACUUUCAAAGAGUCGGAUUGUUUGGGAAUGCAGUCCAAAAUGGGUGGUAAAUUUCAUCUAAAGCUAAAUAUUGGCGAGAGACCGAUAGCGAACAAGUACCGUGAGGGAAAGAUGAAAAGAACUUUGAAAAGAGAGUUAAACAGUACGUGAAAUUGUCAAAAGGGAAGCGUUUGACACCAGUGUUGUUUUUCUGAAAAUCAAUUAAAGAACUGUUUAUGCUAAGUUGUUUAGACUUUAUCAGCUAUCUGUUUAGUUUUGAGCUUUUCUUUAACGCACUUUUCAGUUAACAAGUCAACAUCAAUUUCUUUUGCUGUAAAAAAGCUUGAGGAAGGUGGCUUGAGAUUCGUCUUAAGUGUUUAUAGCCUCUUGCCUAUGCAGUCCGGAGAGAUUGAGGUCUGCAGCGUAGAUCCUUCGGGGCUAAAUGCAUUUGUGCUAAGUUAUAGCAUUUUAUAGACAACUUGUUGACUAUGAUUUGUCUUGUAGCUUACUCGCUUAUGUUAUUUUACCUACGCUUAGGAUGUUGACGAGACUGUCGAUCU